This is a long non-coding RNA of Papaver somniferum (opium poppy), 2027 nucleotides long. RefSeq lists it as uncharacterized. The transcript has 12 exons. Lineage: Eukaryota; Viridiplantae; Streptophyta; Magnoliopsida; Ranunculales; Papaveraceae. The record is from RefSeq and is a predicted model, not a curated record.
GCCUCUAUUCUUUGAAACCCUAGCGAAACUUCAUCUUCAAUAAUCUACAGCCGAGAAACAUCACAGAAACCUCUCAAUCAUCUUCAAUCAUCGACUUUUCUUUUCAUUUUUCAUAUCUUUUCUCUCUCUUUUAUCAUAAUCAGUUUUUCAAUCUUAGGGUUUUUCAUCGUCUGUUAAUCUAGUUUAGGAUUUUGAUUUCAUAGAUCUGUACAAGUCUUUCAUCAUCUGUAGGGUUUUAGUUUUUUCGAUUUUUCAUGUAUGCUGAUUUGAAGAUGAUUUGAUGUCAUUGAAGGAAGAUGAAGAUAACUCAUUGACCCAAUUUGGUUUUUUAGACCAUACAAAUCGAGAGAAAAAGGCUUCAGUAAAGAUCAUGGAUCGUCAAAAUGGUUUGAUUUGUACGAGCUCUAGCAGCUUUAGGUGGAGGUGGUUCUGUGGGUUGAGUAGAUUCUGAAGCAGAGGAUGAGAAUGAAGAUGAACCCAACAAAUCAAAACAGAAGUGAAUGAUUAAGAUGAUGAAAAAGAUGAAAGUGGUGGAAUUAUACCAACAGAAUUAGGAAACCCAAUGACUAUCUUGGAUGGAAUUUUUGUGGAAAUCAAGGAUGAUAUAGACUGCUCUCCAUAUCCAUCGGGUAAGCUUUCAUCAGUGUGUAGUGUUAUAUUGAUACGUAGAGCGAGUUGUUGUUUGUUUGUCUAACUGUUAUACCGUUGGACUUUGUUCGAAGUUUCUCACUAAACUAUAACCACAAGUGCGACAACAUGGUUCCACGAAGUCCGUCCAGUCAAAAUUAAGAAGUUGUGGUGCGAUUCUCAUUGGGAAAGCAAAUAUGCACGGAUGGACCUUGGAACAACUGGAAAUAAUCCUAAUUAUGGAACAGCGAGAAACCCUCAAUCCCUAGACAGAUAUACUGGUGGAUCUUCCUCGGGUCCAGCAGCAAUUGUAGCUUCUGGAUUAUGUUCGGCCGCUCUUGGAACUGAUGGUGGAGGCUCAGUUCGAAUUCCUUCUUCACUUUGUGGUGUAGUAGGCUUCAUAUGGUCGGACUGACAUGGAAGGGGCAUUAUGUGAUUGCGGGACUGUAGAAAUCAUCGGACCAAUUGCUUCUAAUUGCUUCCUAGUUGAAGAUGUUGUGCUUGUAUAGCUUAUUCUCUGAUUGAAAAGCAAGAGGGAAAGGCGAGGACACCAGAUGAUUACAUAUCUUUCGUAACCCUCCUUGCAGAUCCACGUUAUUGUGGCGUUUCAUAUCUUGAGAAGGAAGAAGUGCGAGUUCUAUUAAGGAAGGAUCCUAAAUUUUGGACAUACAGACCAUUUACUGAACAAAUGGUCUGAGCUGCUGCUGAUGAUGUUUGUUUCCUUCUCCAUAUCUACCACAAUAUGAUGACAAAUCUGAACGAUAAAUCUCUGUGGCAACUGUCAGAUCGGGGAGCACUAUACUGUCGGUGUUUCUGUGUUGAUGAUAAUGAGUGUGUAGAUUGGCCGUCUGUCCCUCCCGUUCCAGGAUUACAGGAUCAUAUGAUCCCUAUGGUAGACAUGGCAUGACUCUUUGCAGACCGCAGUAUUAUCUUCAUCAUAGUCACUACACCUGCCAUAUAUUAGCAUCUGAGAUUGGAAGGUACAACACAGUCAUAUGGAUGUUGACAAGGUAUUAACAUAGAAAAGGAUGACUUACUGAGGUGAUCAAAAGAUCAGAACAUAAUUGGAUGCUCCUGCACUUGGUCUAGCUGCACAAACAUCAACAUCCAAGGCCAGAUUCUUUGUGCAGAAACUGCAAGCGGCCUGGUCAUUAUCCAUAUGAAUAAGUCAGGGAUUAUGGAGAACUUGAUGAAGAAUGCUUGGAAACUCUCUGCAAGUUUUGAUAAGUAUCUACAAGUUUUGAGUAAGUUGUAUGUAGUUUUUGAGAUGAAAUUAUACUGACCUACGUGAGAAGGAACUGAACUUAGGAAGUAUCUCAAAAAAAAAUUGUACUUGGAAUAAUUGAUGUUCUUUUCUGAUGUGAAUUGAUUGAUUGAAUUUGAAUGUGGUAUGAAUCCAA